CGAAGUUGUAGUUUAAAGAGAAUAUUAGCAUUGGAAGCUAAAGAUUAGGUAAGUUAAUCCUACUCUUCGA
This 70-nucleotide transfer RNA is filed under the name Aspa marginata. Its description in RNAcentral is "tRNA-Pro". The record is from RNAcentral. Lineage: Eukaryota; Metazoa; Mollusca; Gastropoda; Littorinimorpha; Bursidae.